AACGUCUCUCGGCAACGGAUAUCUAGGCUCUCGCAUCGAUGAAGAACGUAGCGAAAUGCGAUACUUGGUGUGAAUUGCAGAAUCCCGUGAACCAUCGAGUCUUUGAACGCAAGUUGCGCCCGAGGCCUUUAGGCCGAGGGCACGUCAGCCUGGGCGUCACGC
RNAcentral lists this ribosomal RNA (162 nucleotides) under Coptis chinensis. RNAcentral describes it as "5.8S ribosomal RNA". It matches the Rfam family "5.8S ribosomal RNA". Rfam says of the family: 5.8S ribosomal RNA (5.8S rRNA) is a component of the large subunit of the eukaryotic ribosome. It is transcribed by RNA polymerase I as part of the 45S precursor that also contains 18S and 28S rRNA. The record is from RNAcentral. Lineage: Eukaryota; Viridiplantae; Streptophyta; Magnoliopsida; Ranunculales; Ranunculaceae.